This 253-nucleotide ribosomal RNA is filed under the name uncultured bacterium. Its description in RNAcentral is "partial 16S ribosomal RNA". It matches the Rfam family "Bacterial small subunit ribosomal RNA", at positions 524 to 776 of the family's 1533-position model. The record is from RNAcentral.
UACGUAGGGACCGAGCGUUGUCCGGAAUUAUUGGGCGUAAAGAGCUCGUAGGCGGUCUGUCGCGUCUGCUGUGAAAACUCAGGGCUUAACCCUGAGCUUGCAGUGGGUACGGGCAGACUAGAGUGCGGUAGGGGAGACUGGAAUUCCUGGUGUAGCGGUGAAAUGCGCAGAUAUCAGGAGGAACACCGGUGGCGAAGGCGGGUCUCUGGGCCGUAACUGACGCUGAGGAGCGAAAGCAUGGGGAGCGAACAGG